GAACCCGACAGUUAGUCUAUCAUUUUCUCCCUUAGUCUAUAGGAACAACCCAUUACAACCAAUAGGAUAGCUCCAUACUCCCUAUGUCUUCUUUGUCUAUCGCUUUGCCUAUCAAUUUAAAUAAUCGGCUCGCAGGCUGGAGGAGAAGUGCAGGUAUCAGCUAUUCCCCUUGGAAUAUUCGGACGUCUCGCAGCAUGGAGUAAAAAGCAGACAAAUUAUGCCCAUUUAGGGAAAUUCUAUAUUUUGCCGGUAUUUUAUAAUUAUUUUCAUAAACACCCAUAAAUUUUAAAAUUCUUCAUAAUAACUCCUUUAAAAUGUACUGAAACGACAAAGAAAGAAAUUAACUUUCGAAAAAUGUAUAUUUUGUAAACGUAUUAUAUUGUAUGAUUAAAAAUUUUAUAUUUUUCUUAAUCUCUUGCUUUCUUCAUUAAGGCUUAAAGAUUCAACCGACUUAACCUCUUCAAUAUCAAACAAAACAAAAUCAUCUGAAAAAAGGACUAAUUCUUCAAAAUUGGAGAGGGGAAGUAAUUUGAUUUCCUGGAAAAAUUUCUUUGUCUUGUUACUUGGUGUUGUAGGAUUACAAAUUUAACUUUCCUUGUUUUAAGUAUGUACGAGGUUGAUAGAAAAACUGCUCAAAAGCGGACAGGCAU
Bemisia tabaci is the source of this 650-nucleotide non-coding RNA. NCBI's taxonomy places the organism in Eukaryota, Metazoa, Arthropoda, Insecta, Hemiptera, Aleyrodidae. The record is from RefSeq and is a predicted model, not a curated record.